GGAGAUGACAAUUAGGAAAUUUCAAAAUUUAAACGCUUUCUUAUUUAAUCUGUACCAUGGUGUAUUAGAAACUAAUGUGCAGCUGGGCAGUGGUGGCUCACGCCUUUAAUCCCAGCACUCGGGAGGCAGAGGCAGGCAGAUCUCUGUGAGUUUGAGACCAGCCAGGUCUACCAGAGCUAGUUCCAAGACAGCCUCAAAAGCCACAGAGAAACCCUGUCUGGAAAAACCAAAACAAAAAACAAAAAACAAAAAACAAAAACAAACCCAAAACAAAAAACAAAACUAAUGUGCUUCUUUAUUAUGUCCAGAAAGUGUCAUAUGUCUCUUCUAAUACACAGGUCUUACACUGUCAAAGCCAGAGCUGCUCAACUCUCUUGAAGACAGCGAAGAACCCUGGAAUGUGAACAUGGGAGAGACAGAAGACAAAGAACAAGGGCAUAUUGACAUUUGAGGAUGUGGUCAUAGACUUCUCUCAGGAGGAAUGGGAAUGCCUAGAUUCUGAACAGAGGGCUUUGUACCGGAUGUCAUGUUGGAGAACUACAGCAACCUAGUCUCUGUGGGUCUUACAAAACAAGAGCUGAUAAACUCUCUUGAACAAAGCAAAGAGCCUUGGAAUGUGAACACAGGAGAGACAGAAGACAAAGAGCAAGUGAUGGGAUCCUGUGGCUUCAGGGUACUGUGUUUUUCAAGGAUGUGGCCAUAGACUUCUCUCAGAAGGAGUGGGAAUGCCUGACCUCUGCACAGAGGGCUUUGUACAGAGAUGUCAUGUUGGAGAACUACAACAAUCUGGUUUCUGUGGGUCUGUCUGUGUCAAAACCAGAGCUGAUCAACUCUCUUGAACAAAGCAAACAGUUCUGGAAUGGGAACACAGGAGAAUCAGAAGGCAAAGAACAAGUUCUAUGUUACCAUCAAACACACGACAAAUCUUCACAGGAAGACAUAUCAGAACCUAUCCAGAA
Molecule: long non-coding RNA, 959 nt
Filed under: Cricetulus griseus (Chinese hamster)
Lineage: Eukaryota; Metazoa; Chordata; Mammalia; Rodentia; Cricetidae
Description: lncRNA (ENSCGRG00015036577.1)
Source: RNAcentral